UACGUAGGUGGCGAACGUUAUCCGGAAUCAUUGGGCGUAAAGGGUGCGUAGAUGGCCUGAUAAGUUAGCAGUGGGAAAUCGAGGCUCAACCUCGUGGAAGCUGGUAAUACUGUUAGGCUCGAGUGCAGGAGAAGUUAACGGAACUCCAUGUGGAGCGGUAAAAUGUGUAGAUAUAUGGAAGAACAUCAAUAACGGCGAAGGCAGUUAACUAUUCUGUUACUGACGUUGAGGCACGAAAGCGUGGGGAGCAAACAGG
RNAcentral lists this ribosomal RNA (256 nucleotides) under uncultured bacterium. RNAcentral's name for it is "partial 16S ribosomal RNA". It matches the Rfam family "Bacterial small subunit ribosomal RNA", at positions 524 to 776 of the family's 1533-position model. The record is from RNAcentral.